GAUGAACGCUAGCGGCAGGCCUAAUACAUGCAAGUCGAGGGGUAUGAUUUUGAGUUUACUUGAAAUCAGAGACCGGCGCACGGGUGCGUAACACGUAUGCAACCUACCCUUUACAGGGGGAUAGCUCAGAGAAAUCUGAAUUAAUACCCCAUAGUUACAUUUCGCUGCAUGGUGAGAUGUAUAAAGCUCCGGCGGUAAAGGAUGGGCAUGCGUUACAUUAGCUAGUUGGUGAGGUAAUGGCUCACCAAGGCUACGAUGUAUAGGGGUUCUGAGAGGAUGAUCCCCCACACUGGUACUGAGACACGGACCAGACUCCUACGGGAGGCAGCAGUAGGGAAUAUUGGACAAUGGACGCAAGUCUGAUCCAGCCAUGCCGCGUGCAGGAUGACAGCCCUCUGGGUUGUAAACUGCUUUUAUAUGAGAAGAAACCCUCAGAUGCGUUUGAGGCUGACGGUAUCAUAUGAAUAAGGAUCGGCUAACUUCG
This 484-nucleotide ribosomal RNA is filed under the name uncultured Sphingobacteriales bacterium. Its description in RNAcentral is "bacterial SSU rRNA". It matches the Rfam family "Bacterial small subunit ribosomal RNA", at positions 28 to 505 of the family's 1533-position model. Lineage: Bacteria; Pseudomonadati; Bacteroidota; Sphingobacteriia; Sphingobacteriales. The record is from RNAcentral.